AUCCACUCGGAGCGAACCGGAUGAACAGAAGUAACUAUUCGCCGCGGGACGUCGGUUCGAUCAUCUUGGAAAGUUGGUCCAGCCUCUCGUUUCAGUCAGCCACCAUUCAGCAGCCGUCUCAACCCUCGGUAAACUGGUUUCAAGCAUAAUUGGACGCGACUCUGAAAUGACGCGCGUCCGUUCGCAACGCUUAGCUCGAACCAACUAACCGAGCUGCCAUUAUUUUAAUUUAUUUCCCCCGUUCCUUUCGGUCGAAACCCGCUAUAAGUUUGUGCACUUAACGAGCCUACGUAUUUUCGUGAUUUCUCUCAAACGUUUCUCGUUGCUCGUCUCGUGAACGAGAGUGAGGAGGGCGUGUUUCUGUGCGGACACCCCUAGAUUUCUCUUUGUCGAGUGAAUUUUGAGAUUGCGAGGAUACUUUGGUGAAGAUCAGAAGAUUUGGAGAAUAGAAUAUACAAAGCUUUGUGAAUUUUUUGUAAGCAUCGAACGUGUUAGUGUGAACCUUCGCAAAGACCUAUUUGAGAAGAAAAUGUAUUUGACAGAAAAAGGAACAAAGUUUCAAUUUUAUUCGAUAAAAAGUGCGCUGAAAAGUGGAACUGAUUGGACUUAAAAUAAAAGAGAUUAAUUAAGAAAUUACAAAGUUCCCUUGUAUAAUAUUCAACGGAAGCUAAUUUCGUGACUUUUGUUCUCUUUAAUUCUUUGACUUUUAUUCUGCUUUGUGCUCAUUGAUUCUCUGCAAUUCUUUGACUUUAAUUCUUCUUCGCCCUCUUCGACCCUUUUAUUCUUUGCUCUUUGACUUGAAAACCUUGAUUGAAUUCAACCGAAGCUUAAAACUUUUACGUACCCCUGAUAAAAUAAUCGUUUGCGGUUAAAGGGUUAAUAGAAUGAAUAAGAACCGUGAACUAUUCUCUAAUCUAGAACUACUGAAAAUCGGUGCAACGGAAGCGUAAAGGAAAGACGAUGCAGAGGAAUACGGUAGCAGUUUCUUGGAUCGAGUCCAUCGGUGUUGAAAGAUCUUCUCGUUCCAUUUACUCCGCGCUGAAUCGUUACCACGAUUCAAAAUGAAAUGUUCCAUGAAUCUUGGUGGCACGGUUCGGGCUCAAAGUAUCAAGAAACGAUUUGAGGGCGACGCCCGAUACGUCCAUCCUGACAGAUUACACUCAAUUUACGCAAUUAGGGUAACGAAGAGAGGAACACGUGUCGACGGCAGAAAUGCAUUCGAACGAACGCGGCCAUGAGCGGGCAUUGUGUAGAUCUUUAUCACCGAACAAUGCGGUAACGAGCGCCAUUAGCUUUUUGCUUUAUUGCGUUACGAGCUCCUGCAGCGACAGCUCGACACGAGGGAUCAAGUAACUCUCAUUAAGACAAACGAGUUAAAUAACUCACGGUUCACGGCUGUACGCUCUUCGCGUUUAAAAAAAAAAAAGAAGGGUCCGACUACUAUUUUUCAAGUAUUUGGGGAAACGACAUGUUUGCAUUAUCCAGUCACCUCGUCUAUUUUAUUAUUUGUGUCGAAGAAUUAUCAUUAAUUUUCAUUACAGAGAGCCGUAGCUUUGUAAUUCAAUUAAUCGUAUCUAUUUAUUGGAAAAAUGUUAAGUUUCUUUCCAGGAAAUAGGGGACCGGUUUUAUCGGUAAUAAAAAUAUCACAAAUGGGCUGGGCGCAUAAAGCAUGCAGUUGCAUAGAGUCGCAUCCGUGACCAAUUAGUACCGGGAACUUAUCUGUCGGUUAUUUACGAUCUGUACUCUACAUCCUUUACAAUAAAUAGUCUAUCAUCCGUCGAAAUUAUCGCGUUACGGAGGCCAUCGCUGCGCACGGCUCUUGUAACAGGGUUAUCGGUGACUCGUGCAGUAGAAACAGGGUCAGAUUCUUCUACUCGCAUCCCUGACGUAAAGACCGCUUCCUCGAACCGAGACUUCUUUCCCUGGAUCUGUAAAUGAAACGGUACAGAUGGUUUCCGACAGUGAAUUUUCAGAGGAUCACCAUUGACGAAUAAAUUCUGUUUCUUUCAACUUUGGAAACUCCGUUCGAUAACAUUGACGAACUAAAUUUUUUUACAGAAUUUUAUGCGCUGAUUAGAGAUCUACAAAUCAUUUCUCGAUUAGAUAAUAGUGCUCGGUUUAGUCACCUCUUAUUAGUGCGACUAGGAUUUUGACUUUAUUGACUGAAAUUUGUGAAUACACAUUAUCUCGCACAGAAUGACGCGAUAAAAGGCACGAAAGCAACAUUGAUCACCUUUCAGCAGCGUCGCCACUCAACGGGUUAAAAACAUCCUAUCGUCGAUACGCUCCGUCCGGUUCGAUCGGAAAGAAGCGUCGCAAAGCGUAUUUCCAAAGAACCGAACCGCCAGAAAAACGUGGAAGAGGGAACAAACUGACGGCUGCGUCGAUGCUCGACGGUCCAGAAUGUUGGUGGCUUUUUAGGACAGCUAGUCAGGAGAGGGGGUGAGGGACGACGAUGCCAGUACAACUAACGACGUGGCAGGUCGAGUAAAUCAGGAGGGAGAGUGACGAUAAGUUUUUGCUCGUUACAACCGGCCUGGGAAGCUCAUUACCCGGCUCCCUCUAACCCCGAACAGAAGGGUGAGGAACGACAGAAAAGAGUAGGUGGGGGAGGAGAAGGCAGCGUGGAAGCAGCCUUCGACCUUUCACCCCCGAAACGGCCGACCAAAAGUUUUACGCGAUGCUCGGUCCCAGCUUUUCGCUGAAAAACUACACGGUUUCCGCAACGUCCAGUUGCCAGGAACACAGGUGACAAAAAUAGAAAAACUCUGUUUCACCUGCUCCACUAAUGGACUUCCCUAAAUUUGGAAAAAGCGUUGACGCGUUUGCUGUCAGCGUUGAACUUUUUCGCCCAGCUACUUGAAAAUCAGAGAAAAGGUUAGUCAAUUCUAUCGGGCAGGUCUGCUUUAAGGCAAACAUCGAUCGUCCGGCCGACAAUUAGCGGGCCAAUCGAAUGGAAACAUUCUCCGCGUCUACUCUGCGGUCUGGAUAACAUUUUUCUGCGGCACACCACGGAUUUCGCGAUUGGACGUGCCGAACAAAUGGAGCUUUGCGCGGCCGUUCGGAAUUCAGACACGGAUCGUGGUGAGUCGCGUUUUCGAGGCAUUAGAACCCUUUUGUUACGCGCGCUGGUAAUUAGCACCGCGCGAAGGGAUGGCUGAGGGUCGAGUUAAGUGUAAGAAGAAAGUUACGAUGUGUUUGCUGGUGGUAACCUAUAAUAUUACAUUCACGAUUUAAACAGAGUCUCCAUAAAGUCCGAAAUUACAGGAAACACCCUUGAAUUCGUAAAAAGACGAACAGGAAAGCGGGACAAUUUUGACGAGUUAUAAGGUGUCGAGAAAGUAGUUACACGUAACGACGAUAUAAACCGUUUCACUGGAACGAUACGUUCGAAAUAUUUGCCAUGAAUCUUCGCGCCCCGAACAAGAGGGAGCAACACGUUUUAGGGGGGCGCAUUUAUGUACGUACAACAUUACGCUCUUCAGCUCCCACUUAACGCUUUGAAGAGCGACGCGAGCUUCGGUGACUGGCACACAGAAGCGAGCGCAAUAAAAAUCUCUGGCGAAACUUGGCGAAACUGAAAUGUCCCCAGGGAACUUUACGAAGGCGUCGUGACAAUUUCCAAAAGCGACAUAAACGUCGAAAGCGUCGUUAUCUUUCGCGAGUGUCGUAAACGGGAGCCUCGAUUGCCACGACGAUGUAAACAUCCGUUUCGCGGGGUGUCCCGCGCUCGCUUAUUCUCUCCGCGAGAUCGAACCGACGAUCCCCGUCGCGCGUAGAUCCGAAUCGUCGGGUGUUCGGUACCCGGGGACUAAUUGACCGUGUCGAGGAACUCAUUAAAAGUGCGGCCGGAACUCGAGACGUCGGUGGCUCGUAACGAGUGCUGUAAUUUGAGCUGGAUCCGUCCAUGUGCCGUGUAAACGUCGUUGCUAUAUAAUAUCUUAAUCCUCCGGCCACUCGGAGUUCCACUUUCGAGGAACCCCGUAAUAAAGGAUCUUCGAACGGACCGAGGGAGAUCUUGGUUCGCUGGAGAUUGGCCUCCCUUCAUGAUUACCAAGGAUCAUUGUUUCUGAUGUUGCAGUUGGGAAGAGAAUUGGUGGAACGUUGAUGAGGAUCCAUAGAAAGGGCCGCUGGGAUCGUACGGUGUGAAGUGGGUCCUUCCGGACUGUUCCCGGGAGAGCAGCUAAGACCAAAGGGGGUGAAUCGCGGAAGGAGGAUUCCGAUUCUUCGCUGCCGGAUUCAACUGAUCUGAAAGUAUAAGAACGGCACAGCGGUUUGCUGUCGUUUUUACCCGGGAAAUGCCGUACCCUACGGAAUAUCGCCGUUUUACGGACUGGAAUGGUGGCAUAAUAAAACGGAGCAUCUGUAAGAAUGCACAGUUUGCACAUACGUUAGAAAUUUGCGUUCACCGAGCCAUCAAUAACUCAGAAAACCCUUCUAGGUCUUAAAAUUCCGCGUGUACCGGCCGAGUGUCGCUCCGGGAUACAAGGAGGAAGGUUCUCAACGUUCCAUCGUCGAUCGUCAACGUCCAUGCAUUCCUAGGCGUCUGCUAACGCGAAUGAUGGCUAGCAAGGAUCAAAACAACGUCGUAGUCCUUGGAGCUGUCUCUAUCUAUCCGUCGGAUGCCGAACGGUCCAAGGAUGAAAUUAGAGUAGACAGCCGUGUUGUACGGAAGCUGGUGUCCAUGAGAGUUAAUCCUUUCGUGUCUGUCUUAAUAUUCAUGAAGAAUUUUGAAUCGAUCUACAGACGAUUGUGUUAUGAAAGGGUCAGUGUCCUCCCCCGAGGUUCAGCCGUAGUUGAGAUAUCAGAAUCCAACGAAUGCAAGCGUCCAGUCCUGAAACAGGGCGGGGAUCAGUAUUCGUGGUGGCCCACGUACAGUCGAAAUACGUGGUCGUUCGUCGAGGAAGCUCGCGAGUAACUUCUUCCGGCGAGGUACCGGAUGAUCGAGCACACGUUCCAGAAGCCGAGGAACUCGAUCCGCUCGGAGAGGACAUUCGGAUCGGUUGGUAGCCGGCGCAUGCCUGGCGCUCGUCAGAUUGCUCGAGCACAUUCGAGGCAACCGCAAAUCGAUAAGCGGUUAUCGUCGCGUUCGAGCUGAACCGUGUCUGGUUCUUCGUGGACCCAAAGUGUUCCUGUAACUCUUCUUUCGUGAACCCACUUCGCCGCGUAUCGCUCGAGCACGCCGAUAACGCGCCAGGUACACGCUCGACCAGGCCAGACUGCAAGGGAAGGAAGAAGAGAUAAACCGAACCGGAUGCUCGGCGCUGCAGGAAGGCAGCACUUUGACAGUGACUACAGAUACAAAAGACUCGACUUUGUUUUCAAGCGGUUUUGAAUUUGUGCCCACAGACCGAAUGCUGGCCGCGAUGACGAAGGGGAACGCCAUGGCUGACCGCAGAGCAAAGUAAAAUCCACUCAGUCUUAUAGCGACCGCCGAGAGGUGCGGAUCUACCUGUUAAACAUACAAAUACUUUUAUUUCAUUUUCUACGUUUAUUCAAUUUGCUGUAUGUGUUUUCUUAACUUAUUGAAUAUACUCAUUAGAAGGAUGA
Non-coding RNA from Osmia lignaria (orchard mason bee), 5550 nucleotides. The record is from RefSeq and is a predicted model, not a curated record. NCBI's taxonomy places the organism in Eukaryota, Metazoa, Arthropoda, Insecta, Hymenoptera, Megachilidae.